This 253-nucleotide ribosomal RNA is filed under the name uncultured bacterium. Its description in RNAcentral is "partial 16S ribosomal RNA". It matches the Rfam family "Bacterial small subunit ribosomal RNA", at positions 524 to 776 of the family's 1533-position model. The record is from RNAcentral.
UACAUGGGGUGCAAACGUUGCUCGGAAUCAUUGGGCGUAAAGCGCGCGUAGGCGGUUACUUAAGUUGGAUGUGAAAGCCCUCGGCUUAACUGAGGAAGUGCAUCCAAAACUGAGUAGCUAGAGUACGAAAGAGGGUCGCGGAAUUCCCGGUGUAGAGGUGAAAUUCGUAGAUAUCGGGAGGAACACCAGUGGCGAAGGCGGCGACCUGGGCCAAUACUGACGCUGAGGUGCGAAAGCGUGGGGAGCAAACAGG